GAAAGAUCCAAUCUAUUACCCUUAAGUUUAAUGUUAGCUAUAUGUAUCUCAAAGAUGCUCUUAAUGGAGAUGGGGAAGUUCUUCACUAUUUCUAUUUUUCUGAGGAUUUUUAUAAUGAAUAGAUUUUGAUUUUGUCAAAUUAUUUAUUUGCAUCGGUUGAAAUGAUCAUGAGAUUUUUCUUCUUUAGACUGUUAAUAUAGUGGACCGUAUUGAUUGCUUUGCAAAUACUGAACCAGCCUGGCAUCUCUGGAAUAAAUUCUACUUUGUCAUGCCUAACACACCACCACCACCACCACCACCACCUCAGCCUUCCCACGUUCUGGCAGUCUUCCCAAUUCUGAGUAUCUUGAACCAUCCAAACCACAAACAUCUCCAGCACAUGGUUUCCAUUAUAACAAUCCUGGGUAUCUGUCAAAAGUGAAGAGCAGGAGGUUGUAACUCUGAGGAGAGAAGACAGACCGGAGAGCCAAUCAAAUUUCAAACUAUACUUUGCUGUGGGCAUGGAUGGAGAAGCAGGUCACAUCUGAUGAAUGAAGAGGAGCUUCCAAGCAGCCAAAGUAAAGUAUUUUGCUACACAAACUGCAGGAUCAAUGUUCGUGUUUUGAAGCUCAAGAGAUUGACAGCUGUAGAAAUUAAGUUCCAGAAUAUAUCCACCAGCCAGGUUCAUAAUUGUCUCAGAAGUGGCCCUGGGAAACCCAAACAGCUCCAAGGACCACUAUACCAGGCCACUCCGCUUCUCUAAUAAAAUAUUUCUACCACUACUCUUAAAAUUUGUUUUUAAAAUUUAAUUUUUAAGAGCUGUUUUAGGUUUACAACAAAAUUAAGAAAGAGGUACAGAUAUUUCCCACAUACCCCCUGUCCCAUACAUGCAUAACUUCCCCUUUAUCAACGUCAGUCUCCA
Molecule: long non-coding RNA, 901 nt
Filed under: Equus caballus (horse)
Lineage: Eukaryota; Metazoa; Chordata; Mammalia; Perissodactyla; Equidae
Description: lncRNA (ENSECAG00000047184.1)
Source: RNAcentral